This 324-nucleotide ribosomal RNA is filed under the name uncultured eukaryote. RNAcentral's name for it is "partial 18S ribosomal RNA". It matches the Rfam family "Eukaryotic small subunit ribosomal RNA", at positions 1470 to 1796 of the family's 1831-position model. The record is from RNAcentral.
CCCUUAGAUGUUCUGGGCCGCACACGCGCUACACUGAAUAGAUCAACGUGUUCCCCCUUUCCGAGAGGAACGGGUAAACCGCUGAACCCUAUUCGUGGUAGGGAUCGGGGCUUGCAAUUGUUCCCCGUAAACCAGGAAUUCCCAGUAGGCGCAAGUCAUAAGCUUGUGUCGAUUACGUCCCUGCCCUUUGUACACACCGCCCGUCGCUACUACCGAUUGAACGUUUUAGUGAGGUCCUCGGACUGUUUGGUAGGCGGAUUACUCUGCCUGCCUGGUGGGAAGACGACCAAACUGUAGCGUUUAGAGGAAGUAAAAGUCGUAACA